ACAUCCCGGAAGGAUCUCUCUUGAGAGAGCAUAAUAGAGUGAUGGAUGGUUGUGAACGUGUGAAUGUGUCCCUUUCUUAAUCUAUCUAUCUAUCUAUCUCCCAUCCAUCCAUGCCAUGCCAUGUAUGUUGGUGGGCGAUCGAUCGAUCGAUUGACCGUAGCUCGGUGCGAUCAGCACUAAGGAACAAUGAACUCGGAAGCAGAGGGUCCGCCCCUCAUCGUGCGUGCACAAGGGGAGCCCAAUGCGCCAGAGAUUCUUCGGAAUCAAUCAAUCAAUCAAAUGACUCUCGGCAAUGGAUAUCUCGGCUCUUGCAUCGAUGAAGAACGUAGUGAAAUGCGAUACUUGGUGUGAAUUGCAGAAUCUCGUGAACCAUUGAGUCUUUGAACGCAAGUUGUGCCCGAGGCCUUCUGGCCGAGGGCACGCCUGCUUGGGAGUCAUGGCAUUGCCGCCUUUGCUCCAUGCUGGUGCAGAGCGCGUAAAUUGGCCCCGUGUGCCCUCGGGCACAGUCGGUCGAAGAGCGGGUAGCCAUCGGCAUUCGUCGGGCACGAUGGGUGUUGGUCGCCAUGAGCGGGAACAGAACAUCGUCCCCGUCGUUUCGGGAUGAGUCCUCAAGAGACCCUGUGUGAUUGCGGCGUCGGGCACGUUGAGUGCCGUCGCGCCCAUCAACUUGUGGCCCCAAGUCAGGCGAGACCACCCGCCGAGUUUAAGCAUAUC
Molecule: ribosomal RNA, 714 nt
Filed under: Kaempferia pulchra
Lineage: Eukaryota; Viridiplantae; Streptophyta; Magnoliopsida; Zingiberales; Zingiberaceae
Description: eukaryotic LSU rRNA
Rfam family: 5.8S ribosomal RNA (bases 282-437)
Source: RNAcentral